Molecule: RNA transcript, 1343 nt
Organism: Trichechus manatus latirostris (Florida manatee)
Lineage: Eukaryota; Metazoa; Chordata; Mammalia; Sirenia; Trichechidae
Gene name: cyclin-I pseudogene
Exons: 1
Source: RefSeq, a predicted model, not a curated record
AGGAGGAAUAAGAGGAGGAGAAGGUAGCUACAUCAAACUGGGUGACAGGCAGAUCCAAAGGAUAUCAUGAAGUUUCCAGGACCUUUGGAAAACCAGAGAUUGUCUUUCCUGUUGGAAAAGGCAAUCGCUAGGGAAGCCCAGAUGUGGAAGGUGAAUGUGCGCAAAAUGCCAACAAAUCAGAAUGUUUCUCCAUCCAAGAGAGAUGAAGUGAUUCAGUGGCUGGUCAAACUCAAGUACCAGUUCAGCCUUUACCCAGAAACAUUUGCUUUGGCUAGCAGUGUUUUGGACAGGUUUUUAGCUACUGUAAAGGCCCACCCAAAAUACUUGAGUUGUAUUGCGAUCAGCCGUUUUUUCUGGGCUGCCAAGACUGUUGAGGAUGAGAGAAUUCUGGUACUGAAGGUGUUGGCAAGAGACAGUUUCUGUGGAUGUUCUUCUUCUGAAAUUCUGAGAAUGGAGAGAAUUAUUCUGGAUAAAUUGAAUUGGGAUCUUCACACAGCCACGCCAUUGGAUUUUCUCCACGUUUUCCAUGCCAUUGCAGUGUCAACUAGGCCUCAGUUACUCUUCAGUUUGCCCAAACUGAGCCCGUCUCAGCAUUUGGCAGCCCUUACCAAGCAACUCCUUCAUUGUAUGGCCUGCAACCAACUUCUGCAAUUCAAAGGAUCCAUGCUUGCUUGCUCUGGCCAUGGUUAGUUUGGAAAUGGAGAAACUCAUUCCUGAUUGGCUUCCUCUUACAAUUGAACUGCUUCAGAAAGCACAGAUGGAUAGCUCCCAGUUGAUCCACUGUCGGGAGCUUGUGGCACAUCACCUUUCUACUCUGCAGUCUUCCCUGCUUCUAAAUUCCGUUUGGCUACCGUCCCCUCAAGCGCACCCUGGUGACCGGUGACAAAGGAGUGUUCAGAUUACAUUCCUCCUCUGUCCCAGGCCCAGAUUUCUCCAAGGACAGCAGCAAACCAGAAGUGCCAGUCAGAGGUACAGCAGCCUUCUACCAUCAUCUCCCAGCUGCCAGUGGGUGCAAGCAUACCUCUGAUAAACGCAAAGUAGAGGAAAUGGAAGUGGAUGACUUCUAUGAUGGAAUCAAACGGCUCUAUAAUGAAGACAGUGCUUCAGAAAAUGUGGGUUCUGUGUGUGGCACUGAUUUAUCAAGGCAAGAGGGACAUGCUUCCCCUUGUCCACCUUUGCAACCUGUUUCUGUCAUGUAGUUUGAACAAGUGUUACCUCCAGGUGCAAAACGAAGGUAGACUACUCUGGGAAUAAGAACAUGCAAAACCAGGAAAGGAUAUAUAAGGGAUAUAUACCUUACCAGGCUGAAUUGAAGUGAGCCAGAAAAACAAAAAAAAAAACCC